Molecule: ribosomal RNA, 491 nt
Filed under: uncultured bacterium
Lineage: Bacteria
Description: partial 16S ribosomal RNA
Rfam family: Bacterial small subunit ribosomal RNA
Source: RNAcentral
AUUGAACGCUGGCGGCAGGCCUAACACAUGCAAGUCGAACGGCAGCACAGUAAUUGCUUGCGCUUACGGGUGGCGAGUGGCGGGCGGUUGAGGAAUACAUCGGAGUCUACUGUUUCUUGGGGGAUAACGUAGGGAAACUUACGCUAAUACCGCAUACGGCCUACGGGUGAAAGCAUGGGAUCUUCGGACCUUGCGUGAUUGUAGGAGCCGAUGUCGGAUUAGCGAGUUGGCGGGGUAAAGGCCCCCCAAGGUGACGAUCCGUAGCUGGGCUGAGAGGAUGAUCAGCAAAAUUGAACCUGAGAACCGGCCAAGACUCGUAGGGAAGGCAGAGGUGGGGAAUAUUGGCAAAUGGGCGAAAGCCUGAUCAAGCAAUACCGGGUGGGUGAAGAAGGCCUUCGGGUUGUAAAGCCUUUUUGUUGGGAAAGAAAAGAAGAAGGUUAAUCCCCCGCUGUUCUGACGGUACAAAAAGAAUAAGCACCGGCUAAUUCCGU